AGAGCCCGGAGGUGUGCGGCCCGGCGCUGUGCGCGUGCGCUCGCCUGCGCUGUGGUGGGAGCUGGAGCGGAGGUAGAAGCUGAGGCUCCAGGGGACCCGACGACACUUGCUGGCUGCGUGAGCCACCACGCCCGGCCAGGAAGUGGGGUCUAUAGGUGUUGGUGAUUGAGGACAGCAAAAGAGGCAUGCAGGAUGACACCAGGAUCCUGGCUUAGCUAGGUGGAUGAUAGCUGAGAUAGGAGCGCACAGGAAGACCAGCAAUUUAAGGGGGAAGAAGAUGAGUUUGUUUCUGGCUGUGCUGAAUUUGGGCCGAGGGGACAUAUCCAGGAAGCUGUUGGAUAUCCAUGUAUGGGACUCAAGGGCGUGUUUGGACUGAAGCUGUAGAUUGCCUUGGGAGUGGUUGUAUAAUCCAGAGUGAGUGCAGGGAGAUGAGAAGGUCUAAGCCUGGGACCUGGGAAACCCCAACAGUUAAGAGACACCAACAAAGGAUGUGAAGGAUGCACCUCGGAUGCUAGGAGCUGCUGACAGGAAAGCUGAAGAGACUCUGCAUGGGCUUGUGUUAUCUAUUGCUGCAUAAAAAAUUAUC
Molecule: long non-coding RNA, 586 nt
Filed under: Homo sapiens (human)
Lineage: Eukaryota; Metazoa; Chordata; Mammalia; Primates; Hominidae
Description: HSALNT0060181
Source: RNAcentral